This is a long non-coding RNA of Anas platyrhynchos (mallard), 1055 nucleotides long. RefSeq lists it as uncharacterized. The record is from RefSeq and is a predicted model, not a curated record. Lineage: Eukaryota; Metazoa; Chordata; Aves; Anseriformes; Anatidae.
GUUGUGUUCACUGGAAUGCCAUGGGAAUGUUGCUGUACUGCGCUUCUAGACCAGAGGAGGUUUUAAAGUCACAGCUGAAAAAAACAAAACUGCCCUGCCACUGAGCAGGUAUGUGGGUGCAGCCUCCUUAACAGCUGCUAUUGAUUUACCGAUAGUGGUAAAUUGCUGGAUUAAUGAGGCUAAAUCCUACAGCUGGCACUCCUCAUUCCAUUUUAACAUGGUAGGGUCCGUGUGCCCAGGCCUGAGCACACACGAAGUCUAGCUAAAGGCUGGGAAAAAGAAAUUGCUGCUUGGUUCCUCCUUCCUGGUGAUUGCCCAUCCUCAGUCUCCCUCUAACUGCUCCUUUCUGUGACCAGGGGAGCCUAGGGUGCCACCUCCAGCAUUGUCACUGGGUUAGGCCGUGUACUGCCUCCACCAAGCUGCAUCCCCGCAGGCCGAGGUAACCCAGCUGCCAGAGGAGGGGGUCGAAAUGAGGUGGAAUCGAUGCCACCUGGCAUCGAUUUUUGUGCUCCCUGGAACAGGACAGCAGAGCAACACAGCCGCAGAGCAAGACUGAGCAGCUUUGCCAGAAGGUUUUAAUCUCUCGUCAGCACAGAAACACACAGAGGUAUCCCACUGAGUGACACCUGGGGAGGCGGAGGAGCAGAGCCACAAAGAGAGAAGGGAAGGCUGGGCACAUUUAGUGCCAAAAUGGCACGUAGGACUACAAGGGGGUGACUUCUCAGGUAGUUCAGCAAGACUGCAGAGCACCCCUUUUGCCGAGGUGAGAACGCUAAAGGACUGGGCAGUGCUUUUUAGUGCAAAUUUCUAUUUGCUCCUCUGCCAAAAUGCUCUCAGAAACCACCAGAACUGCUCUCCCACACCCACAGCAGAGCAUAAAGCACACUACUUAAACUUUUAUAACUGAGAGCAUCUUUGCUGGGUCACUGAAAACCUCCUCUGUGAUCUGCAGAUCAUUGUGUCACUCCAGCAAGUGAAAAAUAUUAUACAAGGACUUUUGUGUUUGUGUGGAGUUUGGAUUUGGGGCCCUGCAUUAAAAAAUGAUUGCUCUAAGA